RNAcentral lists this small nucleolar RNA (78 nucleotides) under Catagonus wagneri (Chacoan peccary). Its description in RNAcentral is "small Cajal body-specific RNA 18 (ENSCWAG00000012627.1)". It matches the Rfam family "small Cajal body-specific RNA 18". Rfam says of the family: scaRNAs are a specific class of small nuclear RNAs which localise to the Cajal bodies and guide the modification of RNA polymerase II transcribed spliceosomal RNAs U1, U2, U4, U5 and U12. This C/D box domain U91 (also known as U4-8) was identified by Darzacq and is predicted to guide the 2'O-ribose methylation of U4 snRNA C8. Both the doublet (U12-22/U4-8) and singlet (U4-8) forms of this snRNA have been purified from Hela cells. The record is from Rfam by way of RNAcentral. Lineage: Eukaryota; Metazoa; Chordata; Mammalia; Artiodactyla; Tayassuidae.
UGGUGGAUGGCGAUGUUACCACUGUGUAGUCUGAGUUUGGGGAACCAGGUGAUGGAGUGUGUUUUGAGACUGGUAGUG